This 461-nucleotide unclassified non-coding RNA is filed under the name Hevea brasiliensis (rubber tree). The record is from RNAcentral. Lineage: Eukaryota; Viridiplantae; Streptophyta; Magnoliopsida; Malpighiales; Euphorbiaceae.
GGAGAUCAUGGCUUUAGCAAGCAAAGGAACCUCCAAUUCUAAAAACGGCUUUACUACGACUGCUUCUACUUCUGCCAUGGAUAAAACUAAUUCCAUUGCCUCCAAUAAUAAUGCUCGAGAAGGACUUCGAUUGCAAACUCAGGCUAAUGGUUCAGAUUUGCCAAUUGCUAGAAGAGCUUCACUGCAUCGGUUCUUUGAGAAGAGGAAAGAUAGGGUAGCAUCAAAGGCACCAUAUCAAUUAAACAACCCCUCAUCACCUGCUCGUCCUAGACCCGAUGAAGAAAGCAAUCCCAUUAUUAUUGACCUAGAAGUAGAAGGCCAAUCAUCGAAACAGCUUGAGCUUAAAUUAUAGUUGAUUUGUUCAUGAUCACCAUACAACUUGGGAUGNNNNNNNNNNNNNUUGAAAAAAUCCUAGCUGUUACCCUUUUUUAAUUACUUCACAAAAUUCUAUACGAGUAAAU